AAGAAAGUGGCAGAGUGGUUAUGCGACCGGCUUGAAACCGGCUCAAGGGGGUUCGAUUCCUCCCUUUCUCG
Molecule: transfer RNA, 71 nt
Filed under: Schismatogobius saurii (ninja goby)
Lineage: Eukaryota; Metazoa; Chordata; Actinopteri; Gobiiformes; Gobiidae
Description: tRNA-Ser
Rfam family: tRNA
About the family: Transfer RNA (tRNA) molecules are approximately 80 nucleotides in length. Their secondary structure includes four short double-helical elements and three loops (D, anti-codon, and T loops). Further hydrogen bonds mediate the characteristic L-shaped molecular structure. tRNAs have two regions of fundamental functional importance: the anti-codon, which is responsible for specific mRNA codon recognition, and the 3' end, to which the tRNAs corresponding amino acid is attached (by aminoacyl-tRNA synthetases). tRNAs cope with the degeneracy of the genetic code in two manners: having more than one tRNA (with a specific anti-codon) for a particular amino acid; and 'wobble' base-pairing, i.e. permitting non-standard base-pairing at the 3rd anti-codon position.
Source: RNAcentral